UACGUAGGGUGCGAGCGUUAAUCGGAAUUACUGGGCGUAAAGCGUGCGCAGGCGGUUUUGUAAGCCAGAUGUGAAAUCCCCGGGCUUAACCUGGGAACUGCGCUUGUAACUGGCAAGCUAGAGUGUGGCAGAGGGGGGUGGAAUUCCACGUGUAGCAGUGAAAUGCGUAGAGAUGUGGAGGAACACCGAUGGCGAAGGCAGCCCCCUGGGCUAACACUGACGCUCAUGCACGAAAGCGUGGGGAGCAAACAGG
Molecule: ribosomal RNA, 253 nt
Filed under: uncultured bacterium
Lineage: Bacteria
Description: partial 16S ribosomal RNA
Rfam family: Bacterial small subunit ribosomal RNA
Source: RNAcentral